AAUGCAUGUUAAAUAGUAAUGAAGACAUGGAGACAGCCGCCUGACUUGCCUCUUUGCUGGUGACUGUCCCACCUGCUGGGAGAGGGAUACCCAGAGGUCCACAGAAGAGCCCUCUUAUCAGAAGACAGCAGCCUCCCUCCUUGCCCCAUCACAAGGUCCAGGAGCACAGGCCAGAGGAACAGUUGCCUCUAGAUCCUCAGUUUCUCUGUGAAAUGGGAGAGAUACUGGACCAGGGUUAGGACUAUAUGAAUGGUGUUCAGUCCUAAGCCCAUGGUCUUCAUAUGGAUCUGAGCCCCUGAAAGGGCCCGAAGGCUGGGGAGAGAUCCUGUCACAUGCCCUGGCCCAGACUCCUUUGGUAUCCAAAGCAGAUGGCCCCAGCAAGAUGGGGAUAAUAUUCCAAGCAGCUUCCCAAGCUUGGCCAGGCAUCUGGGCACCAGGCACAGCACAUGUUUGCUACAUAUGUUGGUGAUGUGUUUGCCUCCAAGAACGGAAGUGGCCCAGAAGUCCCCCAUACAGUGUCACAUACCAUCUCCAGGAAGGCUGUCCAUCCAGGGAGCGGCUGACUCGCUAGCUGAGGAGCUGGUGGUAAGCACCCCACUUCAUCAUGAGAAAGCGGGGCAGGAGGGAGAUGGGGAUUUUGAGUCCCUGUGAGCAGGCAGGGUCUUCCCAACUGCUACAUCUCAACUCAUCACUGUGGCAGGAGGAUGCUAGGGGCCUGGGGUCAGCAGCUGUGCUCUCUGCUUCUUGCCCCCAGCGAGGGACACUGGACAAGGAGGUAAACAAGGGCAGUCUGAGCUGCUAGCAUGUACCAUCUGUUGAGGGCGGAAGCAUCUUUGAUGUCUUCCCAUACUCCUAUUCACAUUCCUUAAUUCUUCCACAGCAGCUUCAGGAAUCAUCUCAAAAUAAAAAUUCAAGUCAUGUUCAUACCUGCUGAACCCUUAUCAUGGUUUCCCACUUAGCUUGGAUGAUCCUUCCAGUCCUUCUCAGAACCCAUUAGGCUGGACAGCGCCAGGUUCCCACUUGGCUACUUUCUGCCCUUCCCAGGCACCACACCUCAGACACACUGAGCUUUUGAAAGUGUUUGCUCCUCAUCUGGACCUUGUGUUGGUCCAGAUAUGCACGUAGAUGCAUUCUGAAGAGCUCACGUUCCAUGCUCCCUCGUGAUAGUGCCCUGGGGAAAUGUGGGCUCCCAUCUAGCACAGGUCCCAUUCUGACGAUAAGCAGAAUAUGGGGCAUCCUCUUUUUCCGCUGUUCAUGUCCUUUAUUAAGUCUAUCAGUACUAGGCUAAAGGCUCUCUGAAGGCAGACGCUUUGCCUGUCCUGUUCUGCUCUGUGACCCCAAGUUCCUGAGCACAGUCAGGCAUGCAAAAGAACUCCACAAACCACAGAAGGUGAGUGGCUUCCAACUUCCUGCCUUUUCAUUUACCCUCCUCCCCGUCCCACCUGAAAGUGGAGAGUGCUUUUUCUUAAAAAAAAAAAAAAAAAAAAAAGAUACUAAUAUUAAUUUAUUUUCUGUAUGCAUGUGUGAGGUCAGAAGAUUCUGAGAGUUAGCUCUCUCCUCUUUCCACCAAGUGUGUCCGGAGACUCAAACUCAUGUCUUCAGUCUUGGCGGUGGUACCUCUACUGGCUGAGUCAUCUCCAUGGCCCCAAACUGUUUUUUUUUAGAUACACACAGCACAAACCGCAGCACAUGAGAAUGUUAUGAAAAGAACAAACUGGACUGCCAAUCACAUUUUUACAAAUGAGUCCUCUGGCCUCUGCCAGCUUUUUCUACGUGCCUGCAGCUUGUCUUGGGAAUUAUUCUUGGGGACCGUUUGCUUUCUGGCACCAUACCACCAGCAUGUGUAGUAGACACGUCCCAGGGUGGGGGAUUUUGCUUAGUUACACUGGAUGACGAAUGUUUCCACAGCUGCAAACAGGGCAUUCUUGCUCAGGAGUUGGGGCUGCUGGAGAAAGCUGCAGACCCCACUGCCAGUGUUUGAAUGGAAAAGAGAAGGAAGGAGGCAGGAAUUCCUCAAGGCAGCCUUGAGGCCACUGGCAGUGCUCAGAAAAACCCAACGGGGCAAACUUCUGCUGGUAUCCUAGGCAAAGAAUUAGGCUGGAAGCAUACCAACCAAUUAAAUUAAAAUGAGCCGAGCCCUCAUGCUCUGCGCCCCAGGAACAGUACCGGAAGCGUGUGUCUCAGACUUGCUGUUUGCCGGGCGUGUACGAGUGCCGCGCUUGAAGCUCAGGAUCAGACAUUCUCUGUGCUGGAGACAAGGCCAUGGAGGCGCGCGAAGAUUAAGGAAAGUGCUGGGGCUUGAGUCCGAACACAGCUCUAGCUGACAGCCAUCAGGCUCUCAUAUUCGCAGCUAAAUGCUUCCACCUUCCAUUCUCACUGUAUCGACUAUGAAAAGUGUUCUGGAAUCCAGCUGCCCGGGAGAAUUACCUUGGGGGCCUCUUUUGAAAAAAGAAACCUCAGUACCUAGACAGAUCUCACCAAUUAACGUCCCCAGGCAUUUAAUUGAUUCAAAGGUGAUUCUAACACGCAGCAAGACCCUUCAGACCUCAAAACCAGUUCUUAAAUGUGGGUUCUUUGGGCCAGCAAUAUCAUCAACAUCCAAGGCUUACUAGAAAUGCAAACUCCUGGGCCAGCAAGCUAGUUCAGCAGGUAAGGACACUUACUGCCAAGUCUGAAGACCUGGCUUUGAUCUCCUCCAGACUCCGUGUGGCAGAAGGAGGAACUGACUCAUGCAAAUUGUCCUCUGACAUUCUCAUGUGCGCCCUGGCAUGUGCAUACCCCAAAUUUAGAAAAAAAAAAAAAAGUUUAAAAAAGAAGGAGAAGAAGAUGAAGAAAGAGGAGGAAAAGAAGAAAUGCAAACUUUCGUAGACCUGUGGGAUCUAAAACUUCAGAGCUGAGCCCAGAAAUUGAUCUUUUUACAAAACGUGUAGGUUAUUUUGAAAUAAUUCUGAAAUUCAUGCCUUGAAAACCACUGUUCCUUACAUACUGUAAAUUCACCAUGGCCAGGACCUUAUCCUGUAAUUGAACUACCUUGAACCAAAACACAGAAUGAAAAGGCUUGCAUACAGCAUGAUGCUCCUGUUAUUUCCACUAAAGGAAGAAAACCUAAACACAUGGGCGCUUAGUUGUGACUUUGCAAACAGGAAUUUGCUGGGAUAUCUAAUGGUUAAAGUGUUUGCAGCUCACGGAUGAAAUCUAUUCCUGCCCCGAACCCCCACCAGGUUAGAGAGAUAAAACAAACACCUAUCACAGCCAUGGUAGCUGGCCUGGCCCCAGGUGUCAUUGGUUCUGCAAGACUGUUGGAUUUUCUGCCCCUCCAGCCCAGAGGAUUGAAGGCGGCCAGUUUUGACAAGCACAUGAGAAUGUUCCUAUCAAGUAAAUCAAUCCUGCAUCCGGCUGCCCCGCUCAACACCCAGGCAGUGUGGUAGCUUCAUCAGAGAGAAUUAACAGUACUUGCAGCACGUCUCAGAAGAGGGCGGAUAUGUGUCUGUGUCUGCAGCCAGCUUCUUCGAAGUUUCCUUGCUUGGAAUCUCAACAGUCCUGCAAGUGAGCGACAAUUACGUUCGUCUCUACCGUUAACGCGUCUGUGACUGGAGGAGGGGAAGGGUGCUAUGGAGCAAUCAACAAUCGAUGGAGAGAAGGUGACCUGACGCGGCAGUCCUGGCCCUAGUUAUCCUGGAAUCCACUAUGCAAACCAGCAAGCUCAAGCUCACAGAGAUCUACCUCUGCCUCCUGAGCGCUUGCUUGGCUUAAAAGCAUGGACCACCUCACCUGGCCUUCUACCCUGUCUCACAUGGCUGCAUCUUUACGAUAUUGUAGUAUGAUAUAAUCGUAUAUUAAUAUACCAACUCAAUUAGUAAAAUUAAUGUUAUGUUGCAUAUUAUACAGUGUUAUACCAUAUAAUGUAGAUGAAAUAUAUAUAAGGUCCAUGAAACUUUCCAUAAUAAAUAUAUUAUGUAACACAAUAUAACAUAACUUUAUAAAACAUAAUAUAAUAUAUUUGUGAUAUGUUAAUGCUAUAUAUUAAUAUAUAACAUAUAACAUGACAUAUUAACUAUAACAUAUAUACUUACCUCUCUGAAUACAGACAUCUUACACCUGGCUUAGCUCAAAAGCUGCCUUUUCAGAGACGCCCUUCCUGCCAGCCUGCUCAAUGUCACACACAGCCUCUCUUCUACC
Meriones unguiculatus (Mongolian gerbil) is the source of this 4179-nucleotide long non-coding RNA. RefSeq lists it as uncharacterized. NCBI's taxonomy places the organism in Eukaryota, Metazoa, Chordata, Mammalia, Rodentia, Muridae. The record is from RefSeq and is a predicted model, not a curated record. The transcript is spliced from 3 exons.